GCCAUGGGGGUGGAGAGAUGCUAUGUAGUUAAACCCAAGGAAGCUUGUGGAUACAACACUUCCAGCGUGACACUCGUAGAGAACGGCAAAAGCUCAGCCUCACACACACACACACACACACACACACUCACACACAUAUAACAGCAGAUCUCAACAGGAUACUGCAGUCAGUCACAGGCACAUGAACACGGGAGGAAAUGGAGUGACAAGAGAAAGGAAGACACAAAUCACACUGUGCCAUGUGUGCAGAGAAACAGAUUGUCCGCUAUCAGCGGUGAUGGUGCGCGGAGGAAAAACGCGAGCAUGCAGCGAAGUCAAACAAAAGGGCCUCAGAUGAAUAUUCCUGAAACAGAACAGGAUGGACUUGCUAAAACCAAAUCACGCACUCAUCCUGCACCGGUAGGUUCAACGUUUUCUCUUUAGUGUCUUUCUUAAUGGUGAGUGAGCUGCAGUGGGCAUUUUUUGAAAUCGACAGACUCUGAUGGUGUGCUUUAGAAAGUUUAGGUGAUGAUUGGCAGGUGCCAGACUUGAUCCUGGGUCUGUGAGAAG
Long non-coding RNA from Carassius auratus (goldfish), 549 nucleotides. RefSeq lists it as uncharacterized. The transcript has 3 exons. NCBI's taxonomy places the organism in Eukaryota, Metazoa, Chordata, Actinopteri, Cypriniformes, Cyprinidae. The record is from RefSeq and is a predicted model, not a curated record.